RNAcentral lists this ribosomal RNA (440 nucleotides) under uncultured bacterium. Its description in RNAcentral is "partial 16S ribosomal RNA". It matches the Rfam family "Bacterial small subunit ribosomal RNA", at positions 338 to 795 of the family's 1533-position model. The record is from RNAcentral.
CCUACGGGAGACUGCAGUGGGGGAUAUUGCACAAUCGGGGAAACCCUGAUGCAGCGACGCCGCGUGUGGGAAGACGGUCCUCUGGAUUGUAAACCACUGUCCCCAGGGAAGAAGAUGACGGUACCUGGGGAGGAAGCUCCGGCUAACUACGUGCCAGCAGCCGCGGUAAUACGUAGGGAGCGAGCGUUGUCCGGAAUUACUGGGUGUAACGGGAGCGUAGGCGGGACUGCAAGUUGGGGGGCAAAUCUACCGGCUCAACCGGUAGCCGCACUCAAAACUGCAGUUCUUGAGUGAAGUAGAGGCAGGCGGAAUUCGUAGUGUAGCGGUGAAAUGCGUAGAUAUUAGGAGGAACACCAGUGGCGAAGGCGGCCUGCUGGGCUUUUACUGACGCUGAGGCUCGAAAGUGUGGGGAGCAAACAGGAUUAGAUACCCUAGUAGUC